AUUGAACGCUGGCGGCAUGCCUUACACAUGCAAGUCGAACGGUAACAGGUCUUCGGAUGCUGACGAGUGGCGAACGGGUGAGUAAUACAUCGGAACGUGCCCGAGAGUGGGGGAUAACGAAGCGAAAGCUUUGCUAAAUACCGCAUACGAUCUCAGGAUGAAAGCAGGGGACCGCAAGGCCUUGCGCUCACGGAGCGGCCGAUGGCAGAUUAGGUAGUUGGUGGGAUAAAAAGCUUACCAAGCCGACGAUCUGUAGCUGGUCUGAGAGGACGACCAGCCACACUGGGACUGAGACACGGCCCAGACUCCUACGGAGGCAGCAGUGGGGAAUUUUGGACAAUGGGCGCAAGCCUGAUCCAGCCAUGCCGCGUGCAGGAUGAAGGCCUCGGUGUAACUAGCUUUGUACGGUAACGAAAA
RNAcentral lists this ribosomal RNA (417 nucleotides) under uncultured bacterium. RNAcentral's name for it is "bacterial SSU rRNA". It matches the Rfam family "Bacterial small subunit ribosomal RNA", at positions 30 to 451 of the family's 1533-position model. The record is from RNAcentral.